UACCGAAAGGUACGCUAAUACGAGAUAAUAUAUUUUUAUCGCAUGGUAGAAAUAUCAAAGCUCCGGCGGUAUAGGAUGGACCCGCGUCUGAUUAGCUAGUUGGUAAGGUAAUGGCUUACCAAGGCGACGAUCAGUAGCCGACCUGAGAGGGUGAUCGGCCACAUUGGAACUGAGACACGGUCCAAACUCCUACGGGAGGCAGCAGUGGGGAAUAUUGCACAAGGGGCGAAAGCCUGAUGCAGCAACGCCGCGUGA
This 255-nucleotide ribosomal RNA is filed under the name uncultured bacterium. RNAcentral's name for it is "partial 16S ribosomal RNA". It matches the Rfam family "Bacterial small subunit ribosomal RNA", at positions 149 to 404 of the family's 1533-position model. The record is from RNAcentral.